Molecule: ribosomal RNA, 366 nt
Filed under: uncultured phototrophic eukaryote
Lineage: Eukaryota
Description: SSU rRNA
Rfam family: Bacterial small subunit ribosomal RNA
Source: RNAcentral
UACGGGGGAUGCAAGCGUUAUCCGGAAUCAUUGGGCGUAAAGCGCCUGUAGGUUGUUUAAUAAGUCUGUUGUUAAAGACUAGGGCUUAACCCUAGAAAAGCAAUGGAAACUACUAGACUAGAGUAUGGCAGGGGUAGAGGGAAUUUCUAGUGUAGCGGUGAAAUGCGUAGAUAUUAGAAAGAACACCAGUGGCGAAAGCGCUCUACUGGACCAUUACUGACACUCAGAGGCGAAAGCUAGGGUAGCAAAAGGGAUUAGAUACCCUGGUAGUCCACGCCGUAAACGAUGUGUGCUAGAUGUUGGUCACUUUCAGUGUCGCAGCUAACGCACUAAGCACACCGCCUGGGAAGUACGGUCGCAAGAUUA